GAUGAACGCUGGCGGCGUGCCUAAUACAUGCAAGUCGAGCGAAUGGAUUAAGAGCUUGCUCUUAUGAAGUUAGCGGCGGACGGGUGAGUAACACGUGGGUAACCUGCCCAUAAGACUGGGAUAACUCCGGGAAACCGGGGCUAAUACCGGAUAACAUUUUGAACCGCAUGGUUCGAAAUUGAAAGGCGGCUUCGGCUGUCACUUAUGGAUGGACCAGCGUCGCAUUAGCUGGUUGGUGAGGUAACGGCUCACCAAGGCAACGAUGCGUAGCCGACCUGAGAGGGUGAUCGGCCACACUGGGACUGAGACACGGCCCAGACUCCUACGGGAGGCAGCAGUAGGGAAUCUUCCGCAAUGGACGAAAGUCUGACGGAGCAACGCCGCGUGAGUGACGAAGGCUUUCGGGUCGUAAAACUCUGUUGUUAGGGAAGAACAAGUGCUAGUUGAAUAAGCUGACACCUUGACGGUACCUAACCAGAAAGCCACGGCUAACUACGUGCCAGCCGCCGCAGUAA
RNAcentral lists this ribosomal RNA (515 nucleotides) under uncultured bacterium. RNAcentral describes it as "partial 16S ribosomal RNA". It matches the Rfam family "Bacterial small subunit ribosomal RNA", at positions 28 to 523 of the family's 1533-position model. The record is from RNAcentral.